AAAAUAAAGUGGUUUUCAUUGAUAUACAUUAAACUAGAAAUUCUUUACCAACGUGGGAUAUUUGGCAGACUGAAAAAAAACACACUCCACAGUGGGCUAUACCACUAGUAUGGUUCUUUACUGUCUUGUGGCCUACCAU
Molecule: small nucleolar RNA, 139 nt
Organism: Nannospalax galili (Upper Galilee mountains blind mole rat)
Lineage: Eukaryota; Metazoa; Chordata; Mammalia; Rodentia; Spalacidae
Source: Ensembl